CGCUAGCGGCAGGCUUAACACAUGCAAGUCGAGGGGCAUCGGGAGUAGCAAUACUGCCGGCGACCGGCGCAAGGGUGCGUAACGCGUGAGCAACAUGCCCGUAUCAGGGGGAUAAUCCAUGGAAACGUGGUCUAAUACCCCAUAGUAAUUAUGUAAGGCAUCUUAUAUAAUUUAAAGCUUUGGUGGAUACGGAUUGGCUCGCGUGACAUUAGCUGGAUGGUAAGGUAACGGCUUACCAUGGCUACGAUGUCUAGGGGUUCUGAGAGGAAGGUCCCCCACACUGGAACUGAGACACGGUCCAGACUCCUACGGGAGGCAGCAGUGAGGAAUAUUGGACAAUGGAUGGAAAUCUGAUCCAGCCAUGCCGCGUUGCAGGAAGACGGCCCUAUGGGUUGUAAACUGCUUUUGUAUGGGAGCAAUAAGGGCUACGUGUAGUCCGAUGAGAGUACCAUACGAAUAAGCACCGGCUAACUCCGUGCCAGCCGCCGC
This 489-nucleotide ribosomal RNA is filed under the name uncultured bacterium. Its description in RNAcentral is "bacterial SSU rRNA". It matches the Rfam family "Bacterial small subunit ribosomal RNA", at positions 34 to 518 of the family's 1533-position model. The record is from RNAcentral.